AUACGUAGGUGGCAAGCGUUAUCCGGAAUUAUUGGGCGUAAAGGGUGCGUAGGCGGUUUAUUAAGUCUAUGGUGAAAGUGCGGGGCUCAACCCCGUAUGGCCAUAGAAACUAGUAGACUUGAGUGCAGGAGAGGGCAAUGGAAUUCCAUGUGUAGCGGUAAAAUGCGUAGAUAUUAGGAGGAACACCAGUGGCGAAGGCGACUUACUGGACUGUAACUGACGCUGAGUCACGAAAGCGUGGGUAGC
Molecule: ribosomal RNA, 246 nt
Filed under: uncultured bacterium
Lineage: Bacteria
Description: partial 16S ribosomal RNA
Rfam family: Bacterial small subunit ribosomal RNA
Source: RNAcentral